CUCUGAAUGAUGAAGGUGGCUAAGAGGAGAUUUUCACAUAUCACCAAAGGGUCACAAUGUCUUGCAGGGUCAAAUCCUGUAUUGUUUAUGACAACUUUCCACCUUUCUUUUCAAGCACAGUCUCCAACUGUAGCAACUCUAAAACCUCACUUGGGGCUGAUGAAUUUUUAACAUGAUCAGCUCUGCAUACCUCAAUCAAGUAGUGCAGCAAUGUGUCUGUCCUCAUUGGUGUCAAGGCCUGGAAUAACACAGGACUCUCAGCAAGCAGCUAGUGCAACGAUCACAAAUAAAGAGCUCACUCUGGGGUGAAAAUUAGGGUGGAAUAAAUUUAAGAGAUCCAUUUUUGUUGAAAUAAAUUUUUGAAAGCUACAUUGGAAUACAUCUACUGCAACAAUGGGUUUUUUUGAGCACAUAAAUAAACUAGAGCCUGCUUCUGUACCAGGACACUUGAGCAUAGUCACCCCUUCCUAGCCAGAGCCACUGAAGUUUGAAACCUUGUCUAUAUGAGUCCCAAACCAACAUGAAUAGCUUAGCUUCCUUAGGACUUCACACAAUUUUUAGGCUGCCAGCGUUGUUAUUUAUUUAGUGACAUACACACACAAAAUUAAAGCCUGCAACACGUCAUUAAAGACAAUCUGUAAUUAAGUUAGCUUGACAUAACAUGCCAGAAUAAUCCACGUGACCUGUGGUAUGGUGUUUUUCUCCAGGGCUUCUUGAUGUUCAUGUCUACAUACAAUUAGAUUGUGUGGAGUUUGGUCAUGUGCCUGGCUCACUGAGAGCAUAUGCGUUGCUUUGAUGGCUAUUUAAUAUGCUGUUUGAUCUCUUUCCACCAAAAAAAAAAGAAAAAACAAUUGAGUACACUGAGAUAUUGAAAUGAGGAGUACAUAAGACACUAAGAAAUUCCUAGGACUUGACAGUUUCUGGAAGAGAACAGAGCCAGCUGCAAUUAUCCUACCUGCAGUGAGAAAUUCCUCUUUACAGGCCUGAGCACGCCUAUUCCCCAGCAGUCCCUGGAGCUUUAGUGUGGAAGGAGGGCUGUGGCCCAGCUGGGUGAAAGAUCUGAACGAUGGCAAUCGCCUUCCUGUGAGAACAAAGGCCACCCUUGCCCCAGUGGAGGUUUCCAUCCCUUUCACUCAGGUCUCAGGAGGCUCACGUGGUGAUGGUAUUGUUCAGCUUUAAAACUGCAAACUCUUGUGCAAUAAAAGUGGAGACAGAUAUUGGAGGUGGGGAGGGCAGAGAGGGGGAUGCUUCCUCUCAAACCACAAGGCUGGUGGAGAUGUUGGAUCCCAGUUAUCAUCCAUUUUGCCUGGUAUCCUCUUUGCAGCACUGAAUGCCCGGGAAAGAAGCUGGGAAACCUGCAAAACAUCUCCUGACACUUCCCAGAAACAGCUUCAGAGCUUUGACCUACCUGAUUCUGUUCCUGAGCCAACGCUGGUAUUUUGCCACAAAAAAAUACCAGAUAAAAUACAUUCCAAACUCUACCACACAGACAAUGAAGAGUGAAACAAAACUUUCUUUGAAGUUUUAUCCAUUUCACGGAAGCUGUUUUUCUCCACUUAAGAAAUCCAGAGCAAACAAAAAUAGUAUUUCAAAGCUCAAUGAAGGUGUGAUCGCAUACAUUUGACAAAUAUUUUGCUGUUGUGUAAUGUGUCAGUUGUGGAAACCAAAAGUGAUAUUCCCAGAGCAAGAUUAUGCCUGAACUUGAUUGGUCAAAUGUUGGAUUUGAUGCUCUUGGAGGUCUUUUCCAACCUGUGUGAUUCUGUAAUGCUAUGAAUCUAUGAUUUCAUGGCAAAGGAGAGAUGUGCAGCACAGGUCCCCACUCAAUUCCAAGGGCAGUCCCAUCACUCCCAGAGUGCCUCAUCCUCUCUAGAUUGUACCAGCCAAAAUCAGAGGAACCAGUGUCAGACCAGGGCCUUAUAGAUAGGAGACAUUAAUUUAGUAGCAGCUUUCCCCUGGCUGGCAUCAGCUCCACCAGCUGUCCUGACCACUUCAAAGGAUCAAGGGUGCAGUUAAAAUGGUAUCAGUGCUGUGAAUUUCGAUUCUCACUCUCCACCUGAUGAUUCAACACUCACAAACCCUUCCACUGCGAGCUGAGAGCUGCAGUACAGCCCCGUGCAGUGUCCCUGGUAAAGUCAGCAGGACAAAAGCUCUCUCUGGUGGUACAUUGCAGGCUCUGCAGGUUCCUUUCCCUCCCACUCCAAGCAGCCGAGCAGCUCCGUGCUGUCCCUGCCUUUCCUGACGAGCCCACCCCAGGCUCUGCCAGGAUUAGUGACGGCACUGGAGCAAACAGCGAGCGGGACAUUGUCCUGUUUGAACAGAGCUGAACACACCGGGGAUAAGACAAGACACUAUACAUGAUGAGAUGAAUGGUUUCUGGUCUUGACAGUUACAAGAUUGGAAGUGACAUGGAAGGGCAUUUUAUUUAUCUGGAGAAGAAGUGCAGUGCUAGCAGCCACAACAUAAGCUUUUUGACAUGUUUCACGAACCACCAGCUGUGCCCCAGAAUUGGCAUCUUCUUCAGCAGUCAAAACAAUUCAGUAGUUUUAUGUAUUCCCACCAGUUGCCUUUAUUCCCAGUCUAAGGUAUCAGCUUCCCUCCCACCUGAGCUAUUGUACCAGGAAACAGAAAUCUUAAAUUAAUUUUAUCUUGAUCUCCUACAGCUAAGUAAGACAUAGCCUAAGUGUUUUGACUUCAGCAAAUAGUUUCUUUGAAACACCACCCACUCAGCUGCCUGAGUCGUCAUCUGUGAGAGGCUGAGACUGCAAUCAGAGCCCUUAAAUGUCGGGAAUAAAUGCUCUGCUGCACACUUCCCUGAAAUCUGACUAAUCCCAACUGCUGUUUCACAGGUAAAAUAUUACCAAGUGACACAAAAUAGGGACAUUCAGAUGCCUGGAUGGGAUAAUAGUUUCAAUUACAAAUCACUGACUAGGACAAGUCACAAGUUGUAAAGAGGUGUUCCUCCACUUGAACAGCAGUAACUGGCCACAAGAAACAAAAGCUCAAGUUGCUUUCCUGAUCACACAGAACCUGACAUAAUUGGAAGCUAUUUACUAAUGGCACUAAAUUACUUUUAUAGCUCUUUACCAUCUGAUUCAGUACUUCUUCAUAGCAACUUCUAACCCAAGUGACCACUGCACCCCUGAAGUUGUUUGUGCCCAGAACACCAAAAAGCUGAGCUGUCACCAUUUGCCCUGCCUGGAGUGCUCAGGAGAAUCUGCUUUCUUCUGCUGCUUUCUACAGUACUGUUAGUAAUACAGCCAAAGUCAUCACCUGCAGAAAUUACAGAUAGUAGGAGAGUACAAGACUCUGCAGUUUACCAGUGAAGGUAUGCUGGCUACAUAAGCAACUCUGAAUGCAAAAAUGUUUUGCAGACUCUGAAGACCUCUGAACCAGAUGUUGCUACAAACAAGAGUAGGAAAAGGCUUCAAGAAUUUGGAAAGUCCAUGCAUGUUUCCAGAAUUCUCAUCCCUGGUACAAACCUCCACAGAAACCAAUCAGACUCACUGCUUUCCUCUCCCAUGUUGCAAUUAGGAAAAAUUCUCUGGGAAAAAGAGUACAAUACCCUUCAGGUACAGCACUGGGCUUCUGCCCUGCCUGCAGCUCCCCAGGGCAGCAGCAUCCAGCCCUGGAAAUGGGACAACUGUCAAGGCAUCGCGCAGCUCCCCGCGCUUCCCAGCAGACACACUGCCUCCAGAGAUUUUUCCCCGAAGAAAAAAUUAGAUUAACAUCUGAAAGCACAUAAUUUUAUCUUUGGUAAUGUCUCUUCUAAUAUUGCCACUUUUUAAAACUGUUACAUAACCACGUUGUGUAACCAACAAGCUCAACUUCCUUACCAAGCUGCUCCUCUCCCUCCCUCGAUCCAUCCAUCAACCCUGGCAUCCUGCAGGGCUCCUGUAUGAAUUGCACUGCUUUAUUUAAAUAAUAUGGUACAAUUGUCCUUCAUUGUUUUGCCAGGCAGCAUUGACCAAAAGAAACUUUACUAAAAAUGAGGACUCAAAUAGUAGCUGGUGCCACUAAAUCCUACUGACUUUGCAUAUCCAAAGCAACCUGACCUUCAACAGCUGAAAGCUGAAGUCUUCAAAGUACCAACUUGUAAGAGUGACAGUGACUUUGCUUUCCAAUGAUACAAAAAUCAAAAUAUACUUAAAAGCUCCCUAUUUCCAGAAACUUGGCUUUGAAUGGAAGUCAGACACGGAGACAACACAAUCCUCCAGGCCAGUUUUCUGCCAGACUGGUUAUUUUAUAAAAUUAAAGGUUCAUACUCUUCUCCUGGUAGUUGUGCCUGCAACAUUCUGCAAAAUGCCUAAAGCAAAUUAAGUAGAGCAACAGAAUCAUCGUAACUCAAGUACACACAUUAUUUUUAUAUUAAGAUGCAAGUUUUCAUGUUUUGAGAAAUCACCUACAGUAAUACACAAGCUAAAAGUAGUUUUAGAAUAAGCUGAGAUUUGGACAGGUAGGCAACAUUCCUAGCUUUGUUUCAUCCUGUUCUUGUUUCUGCUACUUAAUCAGCUGUUUUUUUCACAAACUCUUCUGCUUUAUGAAUUUUACAGAUAGGAAACAAGGCUAAAUUGCUUGUGAUUAUCUGCUUUUUAAAAGAGCCUAGCAAGUAAUUGCCUAUCAGUAUUAUCAUAGAGCUUUGAAAGAUCUCAGGCUGCUCCAUCAGGGAAACAAAUUAGAGACAGUAAGCUCAAAAGACACAGCCAAGGUGUUCAGAGACACAAACAAACAGCCGGACCUUUUAUGACACUUUAUCCAAGGCAUUGUCUAAUACACAUAUAAAGGUGGCUCUGUAGAGCCACCAGGUGCUGAGUGCCCUCUGUUCUGUCAGGACACUCAGAGUUCUAGCUGUCUUGCUGGAAUUCCACAGACAAGCUGGAGGUAGUACUCAGCUUCUGGUUCACGGUCACCUCGCCUCCAAAUGAAAGGCCUGAGGAGCAGCUGAGGCAUGCAAGAGCCAUCUGUGACUAAACUGCCACCCUAAGUUAAACACUUCCAUCCUUUCCCAAGUCUUGACAUGAAUGUUAAAAACAGUGUAAGAAAGGUUUCUUAGAACUCUAUAAAUAGAGACAAAUCUGAACUUCCAUUCUGAUUAGGCUUCCUUUGGUGUUCCAGCAUGAGUCUUACUUUGAAAUUAAGAAAAAAAAACAAGGAAAAAAAUUCUAGAGGUUUAUCCACCAGUACUCCAUUUAGCUUCACACGCUUGUGCACACAUGUAUUGGGUUUUUUAUAUCUACAAAGAAGUGACUAGAACAUCUGGCCUGGCCCAGAACACAUUCACAGAUGAAGAUAGGCAUGCUUUAUAACAUAUGAACAUGCAUACAUUAUGAGAAAAUGCAAGCGAAUUAUGCCUCCAAUUAUAUGAACUGAGUACAUGCCAGUGAUGCAAACAGAGCCCAUGCCAGAUUUUGGAUCUCCACCUGAGAUGACACUGGAGAAAUCACAUUAAUCUCAGGUAAAAUUACGAGGAAAAUCAUCAGUUGGUUUGCAAAGCCAAGCGGUGCAGAGGAUCCCAAGUCAGCUUCAUCAAAAUUGAAAGAGAUGCGAAUUAACACAUUAACAAUAAAAACAUGGAGCAUUUUAUCAACAUACUUUGAGUGCUGUCAACUUGCUUGUUUGAACUUUAAAAGACAGAUUAAUCAGGAAUUUUUGGUUCUAUGUAAAAGAGGGAUGAAAUCUAAUCUAAAGUUCCUUUCCAGCCUUAAGUCUCAGAAUAAUUAUAUCUACAAUUAAAAACCUCACCUAAAAGUGAAUCUUUUAAAAUAUCUAAAGCUUUACUUGCCUUGGAGGUGGGGGGGGGAAGCAAUAAAUAAAAUUAUUCAUGCCAGCAUGGUAUACACAGCCAUAUUUAUUAGUUCACUUCCAAUUACAUAAAGAAAAAGCUGAAGCCAUAUACAAGUGCUGCUUUAAAAUAAAGACAGACUACUGUUUUCUCCAACAGUUUUAUUUCAAAAAGUACACAAGUCUGUCAUGGAACUACAGCAUUUUAAAAUUUUGGAUUUUGUUUUUUUACAAAUUCACUCACAAUACCUGUAUUUUAAAAUACCAUUCCCCCAAAAGUGUGAAUAUAAAAACCUCAUACUGAAAUUCAUAUCAAUGUUCAAAGUCCAUGCUUUGUGCAUGAGAAGUGUAAUGUAACAUCGUAACAUAUUGGAUCCCAGGAAGUUGUUAUUGCUCCGAUUUCAGCUGAGCUAUGCCUCAGUGCUAGGGGACUAUUCAACAAAGGGCCCCAAAAAGCACCUAUCAAGUGUAUAAAACAGGGUUUAAGUGACACAAAUAGCAUCAUAUCUUUAGACUGGAACAAAGACCUAGAGUGAUCCAGAAUAUAUACACUGCUCAGAACAAAACUAAAAGCUUGUCAUGGAAACCAGUAAUAUACAAUAUUGAGCAUUACAGAAAAACUUGCAAUUCAGAAGUCUUACUUGAACUAUUAAACAGGAAGCAUACAUCUAAUAUUAAUGAGACUAUCAAGAGCUGAGAAAGACGUAUGCGUUGUACAUUUCUUUCAAAAGUCAUGUUUUACCCCUCCAACAAGGCAUUUCUGUGCACCACCCAGUUUUGGAAGAAGUAUUUGUUUUUAGGGAAGGAAGUUUCACACAAGUAUCUUUAAAUACCCACUGCAGAAAGUUGAUGAAAACUCUUGUAAUAUAUGGACAAGUGUAACAUAACCUCUACAGUAUUACAAGUCUAACACUUUAUUCACACCAUGCUAAAAUUGAGGGGUUUCUAUAUAUAGUAGUCCUCAACAGGCAAUUUUACAGUCAUGACAUUAACUAAAUGUUUCUUGAGCUCAGAGUAUUUACACAAUGGUA
Prinia subflava (tawny-flanked prinia) is the source of this 6809-nucleotide long non-coding RNA. RefSeq lists it as uncharacterized. Lineage: Eukaryota; Metazoa; Chordata; Aves; Passeriformes; Cisticolidae. The transcript has 2 exons. The record is from RefSeq and is a predicted model, not a curated record.